Molecule: long non-coding RNA, 673 nt
Organism: Oncorhynchus keta (chum salmon)
Lineage: Eukaryota; Metazoa; Chordata; Actinopteri; Salmoniformes; Salmonidae
Exons: 7
Source: RefSeq, a predicted model, not a curated record
UAGAGAGACUAAUCUGUAGCCCAAACACUGUCUUUAAUUUGAUUUCUGAGCCAUACACAUUAGAAUAAGACAAUUCUACUUUUUGACAUUUAAAUGAUUAAUAUCUUUCUUUUACAAAUCUCUUCUGAUAAAAAAAAGUUACAAUAGAAGCAAUAGAAACAAUAGUAAACCCGUAUUGCCGCGUUUUGAAAGAUAUAUCAGUCUGAAGUAUAUCACUCUAGGUUGUGGGGUACAGGUCAGUCUACUGUCUAGGUUUUGGGUUCCAGGUCAGUCUACUGUCUAGGUUUUGGGGUACAGGCCAGUCUACUGUCUAGGUUUUGGGGUACAGGUCAGUCUACUGUCUAGGUUUUGGGGUACAGGUCAGUCUACUGUCUAGGUUUUGGGGUACAGGUCAGUCUACUGUCUAGGUUGUGGGGUACAGGUCAGUCUACUGUCUAGGUUGUGGGGUACAGGUCAGUCUACUGUCUAGGUUGUGGGGUACAGGUCAGUCUACUGUCUAGGUUGUGGGGUACAGGCCAGUUUUCAGUCUAGGUUUUGGGGUACAGGCCAGUCUACUGUCUAGGUUUUGGGGUACAGGCCAGUCUUCAGUCUAGGUUGUGGGGUACAGGCCAGUCUACUGUCUAGGUUUUGGUGUACAGGUCAGUCUACUGUCUAGGUUUAGGGGUACAGGUCA